CACACGACUCUCGGCAACGGAUAUCUCGGCUCUCGCAUCGAUGAAGAACGUAGCGAAAUGCGAUACCUGGUGUGAAUUGCAGAAUCCCGCGAACCAUCGAGUCUUUGAACGCAAGUUGCGCCCGAGGCCAUUUGGUUGAGGGCACGCCUGCCUGGGUGUCACGC
Molecule: ribosomal RNA, 164 nt
Filed under: Milium effusum
Lineage: Eukaryota; Viridiplantae; Streptophyta; Magnoliopsida; Poales; Poaceae
Also listed under: 1 other name
Description: 5.8S ribosomal RNA
Rfam family: 5.8S ribosomal RNA
About the family: 5.8S ribosomal RNA (5.8S rRNA) is a component of the large subunit of the eukaryotic ribosome. It is transcribed by RNA polymerase I as part of the 45S precursor that also contains 18S and 28S rRNA. Functionally, it is thought that 5.8S rRNA may be involved in ribosome translocation.
Source: RNAcentral